Long non-coding RNA from Homo sapiens (human), 822 nucleotides. The record is from Ensembl. Lineage: Eukaryota; Metazoa; Chordata; Mammalia; Primates; Hominidae.
AUAGGCCUUUUAUCACGUCAUCACAAAAAGACGGGAAGAAGAUCACAGAAGUAAAGUGCCAUUUUCAUCACAUCAUUUUAAGGGUACAAAUUAUCAACAUGAUUUGUGAUUACUGAUGUUCACCUUGAUCACCUGACUGAGUGCCUUGAACAGUACCUGCCACUCAAUAGGAUGUCUGAUUUGAAAGUGAUCUUGGCUUGGGAAAAGUCCAUCAGGUGUGACACAAGGCUCAAGGAAAGUAUGAGAAAAGGUGACUAUUCUCCAUCUUCUUGGGUGUCCAGAGAGUGUUGGAGUGGCUCCAGCAUAGCUACAAGGGCAGGCUCGGAGGUGGUAUCUGCCCCCAAAAAUCAUUUCUGUGUUGCAUGAGCAUCAUUUGAGAAGACCUGCUGCAUCAUCCCUAUCAAUAAGGCUGUCUCCAUUUAUUGAAGCUCAGAUACCAUUGCUUCAAGGUGCGAGCUGGUAUAACUGAAAGCAAAGAAGACAUUGCUAAGUUGAACAUUUUAACUAGUUUUAAAAAAAUUGUUAAAACAGCAUUGCAGAAACAAUAGUCUGGUAAGCAAGGCUUUCAUUUGCAAGAACUUUACAAGAGAAAAAGGAUAUGCAUGACUUAAAUAGCCCAAACUUGAAGUACAGAGUCUUUAGUAUAAGCCAGUACUUCUGAAGGUAUACUCUGUGGACCUCUGGAUACUGGCAUCAAAUGCCCUCGUAGUCAUUGUAUUCUUCAUCACCAAGGAAUUACGUUUUUUUUAAAAAAAUAGCUUCAGAAUGUCCUUGCUGAAGCAGUAAAAAAUUAAUUUUAUUAAAUUUUGAUCCUUGAGCGCA